AGCGAACGCUGGCGGCAGGCUUAACACAUGCAAGUCGAGCGGGCAUCCUGUUGGUGUCUGCGGCUGACGGGUGAGUAACGCGUGGGAACGUGCCCUUCGUUUCGGAAUAACUCUUGGAAACGGGAGCUAAUACCGGACACGUGCUAGAACAGAAAGCGUUAUCUGCCGAAGAAUCGGCCCGCGUCUGAUUAGGUAGUUGUUGAGGUUAUGGCUCACCAAGGCGACGAUCAGUAGCUGGUCGGAGAGGAUGAUCAGCCACACUGGGACUGGGACACGGCCCAGAAUACUACGGGAGGCAGCAGUGGGGAAUAUUGGAAAAUGGGGGGAACCCUGAUCCAGCCAUGCCGCGUGAGUGAUGACGGUCUUAGGGUUGUAAAGCUCUUUUAUCCGGCACGAUACUGACGGUACCGGAGGAAUAAGCCCCGGCUAACUUCGUG
This 437-nucleotide ribosomal RNA is filed under the name uncultured bacterium. RNAcentral's name for it is "partial 16S ribosomal RNA". It matches the Rfam family "Bacterial small subunit ribosomal RNA", at positions 29 to 507 of the family's 1533-position model. The record is from RNAcentral.